UGCUCUUGACAUGUACGGAAGAUUUCAGAGAUGAGAUUGUGCCUUCGGGAACCGUAACAC
Molecule: ribosomal RNA, 60 nt
Filed under: uncultured organism
Description: partial 16S ribosomal RNA
Source: RNAcentral